Molecule: ribosomal RNA, 297 nt
Filed under: uncultured Pseudomonas sp.
Lineage: Bacteria; Pseudomonadati; Pseudomonadota; Gammaproteobacteria; Pseudomonadales; Pseudomonadaceae
Description: partial 16S ribosomal RNA
Rfam family: Bacterial small subunit ribosomal RNA
Source: RNAcentral
GUAACGAGCGCAACCCUUGUCCUUAGUUACCAGCACGUUAUGGUGGGCGACUCUAAGGAGACUGCCGGUGGACAAACCGGAGGAAGGUGGGGAGUGACGUCAAGUCAUCAUGGCCCUUACGGCCUGGGCUACACACGUGCUACAAUGGUCGGUACAAAGGGUUGCCAAGCCGCGAGGUGGAGCUAAUCCCAUAAAACCGAUCGUAGUCCGGAUCGCAGUCUGCAACUCGACUGCGUGAAGUCGGAAUCGCUAGUAAUCGUGAAUCAGAAUGUCACGGUGAAUACGUUCCCGGGCCUU